This 498-nucleotide ribosomal RNA is filed under the name Streptomyces sp. BC599. RNAcentral's name for it is "bacterial SSU rRNA". It matches the Rfam family "Bacterial small subunit ribosomal RNA", at positions 29 to 531 of the family's 1533-position model. Lineage: Bacteria; Bacillati; Actinomycetota; Actinomycetes; Kitasatosporales; Streptomycetaceae. The record is from RNAcentral.
CCACUGUCACAAACGCUGGCGGCUUGGGUAACAGCAUGCAAGUCGAACGAUGGAAGCCUUUCGGGGUGGAUUAGUGGCGAACGGGUGAUUAGACACGUGGGCAAUCUGCCCUUCACUCUGGGACAAGCCCUGGAAACGGGGUCUAAUACCGGAUAACACUCUGUCCUGCAUGGGACGGGGUUAAAAGCUCCGGCGGUGAAGGAUGAGCCCGCGGCCUAUCAGCUUGUUGGUGGGGUAAUGGCCUACCAAGGCGACAACGGGUAGCCGGCCUGAAAGGGCGACCGGCCACACUGGGACUGAAACACGGCCCAAACUCCUACGGGAGGCAGCAGUGGGGAAUAUUGCACAAUGGGCGAAAGCCUGAUGCACCGACGCCGCGUGAGGGAUGACGGCCUUCGGGUUGUAAACCUCUUUCAGCAGGGAAAAAGCGAAAGUGACGGUACCUUGCAAAAAAAGCGCCGGCUAACUACGUGCCAGCAGCCGCGGUUAAUACUUAGG